RNAcentral lists this ribosomal RNA (447 nucleotides) under Bacillus pumilus. Its description in RNAcentral is "bacterial SSU rRNA". It matches the Rfam family "Bacterial small subunit ribosomal RNA", at positions 944 to 1394 of the family's 1533-position model. The record is from RNAcentral. Lineage: Bacteria; Bacillati; Bacillota; Bacilli; Caryophanales; Bacillaceae.
GUUUAACGCGAAAGGCACCUUACCAGGUCUUGACAUCCGGGUCUCGAGAACCCUAGAGAUAGGGCUUUCCCUUCGGGGACAGAGUGACAGGUGGUGCAUGGUUGUCGUCAGCUCGUGUCGUGAGAUGUUGGGUUAAGUCCCGCAACGAGCGCAACCCUUGAUCUUAGUUGCCAGCAUUCAGUUGGGCACUCUAAGGUGACUGCCGGUGACAAACCGGAGGAAGGUGGGGAUGACGUCAAAUCAUCAUGCCCCUUAUGACCUGGGCUACACACGUGCUACAAUGGACAGAACAAAGGGCUGCAAGACCGCAAGGUUUAGCCAAUCCCAUAAAUCUGUUCUCAGUUCGGAUCGCAGUCUGCAACUCGACUGCGUGAAGCUGGAAUCGCUAGUAAUCGCGGAUCAGCAUGCCGCGGUUGAAUACGUUCCCGGGCCUGUUAACACACCGAG